CCCUUAGAUGUUUUGGGCCGCACACGCGCUACACUGAAGGAGGCAGCGUGUACUCCUGGAUCGAAAGAUUUGGGUAACCCGCGAAUCUCCUUCGUGCUAGGGAUUGAGGUUUGCAAUUAUCCUUCAUGAACGAGGAAUUCCCAGUAAGUGCAAGUCAUAAGCUUGCGCUGACUACGUCCCUGCCCUUUGUACACACCGCCCGUCGCUACUACCGAUUGAAUGAUUUAGUGAGGACUUCGGACUGGGACCGAUGCGGCUUUCGGGCUGCGUCGGUAUUCUGGAAAGAUGUCCAAACUGUAUCAUUUAGAGGAAGUAAAANUCGUAACA
This 327-nucleotide ribosomal RNA is filed under the name uncultured eukaryote. RNAcentral describes it as "partial 18S ribosomal RNA". It matches the Rfam family "Eukaryotic small subunit ribosomal RNA", at positions 1470 to 1796 of the family's 1831-position model. The record is from RNAcentral.